RNAcentral lists this ribosomal RNA (254 nucleotides) under uncultured bacterium. Its description in RNAcentral is "partial 16S ribosomal RNA". It matches the Rfam family "Bacterial small subunit ribosomal RNA", at positions 524 to 776 of the family's 1533-position model. The record is from RNAcentral.
UACGUAGGUGACCAGCGUUGUCCGGAUUUACUGGGCGUAAAGAGCGCGCAGGCGGUCGUUCAAGUCGCGUGUGAAAGCCCCCGGCUCAACUGGGGAGGGUCACGCGAUACUGAUCGACUCGAAGGCAGGAGAGGGUAGUGGAAUUCCCGGUGUAGUGGUGAAAUGCGUAGAUAUCGGGAGGAACACCAGUGGCGAAGACGACUACCUGGCCUGUUUCUUGACGCUGAGGCGCGAAAGCUAGGGGAGCAAACGGG